AGCAUUGCGAUUCCCACCGGAAUGAACUGUCACGUGACUGUCAUCCCAUUGGGGAUGUCAUUAUAAAAAGCGUAGCGACACAAUUCAAAAGAGAGUAAUCGUUACCAGUUAGAAUAAAAGAGAGUAAUCGUUACCAGUUCGAAUAUAGUCAGAGAGUGUUAGCGGGUCAGUUGAAUAAAGGAAUAGAGAGAAGUAAUUGUUAGCGGGUCAGUUGAAUGAAGGAAUAGCAAAGAGUAAUUGUUAGCG
This 246-nucleotide unclassified non-coding RNA is filed under the name Bombus terrestris (buff-tailed bumblebee). RNAcentral's name for it is "misc RNA ENSBTSG00005026678.1". The record is from RNAcentral. Lineage: Eukaryota; Metazoa; Arthropoda; Insecta; Hymenoptera; Apidae.